UAAGGAAUAUUGGUCAAUGGGCGGAAGCCUGAACCAGCCAUCCCGCGUGCAGGAUUAAGGUCCUAUGGAUUGUAAACUGCUUUUAUUAGGGAAGAAACGCCUUCAUUUAUGGGGGUCUGACGGUACCUAAGGAAUAAGCACCGGCUAACUCCGUGCCAGCAGCCGCGGUAAUACGGAGGGUGCAAGCGUUAUCCGGAAUCACUGGGUUUAAAGGGUGCGUAGGCGGGUUAUUAAGUCAGUGGUGAAAGCUGGUCGCUCAACGAUCAAAUUGCCAUUGAUACUGAUAGUCUUGAAUUGAGUUGAGGUUAGCGGAAUGUGACAUGUAGCGGUGAAAUGCGUAGAUAUGUCAUGGAACACCAAUUGCGAAGGCAGCUAGCUAGGCUUAUAUUGACGCUGAGGC
This 400-nucleotide ribosomal RNA is filed under the name uncultured bacterium. RNAcentral's name for it is "bacterial SSU rRNA". It matches the Rfam family "Bacterial small subunit ribosomal RNA", at positions 355 to 752 of the family's 1533-position model. The record is from RNAcentral.